CCCUAACUCGCAGCCAGCUACCGUGUGAAUACGGAGGGUGCGAGCGUUAAUCGGAAUUACGGGUGGGAAAGCGCACGUAGGUGGGUUGGUAAGUUGGAUGUGCAAUCCCCGGGCUUAACUUGGGAAUUGCAUUCAAGACUGCCUUGCUAGAGUGUGGAAGAGGGAAGCGGAAUUCCAGGUGUAGCGGUGAAAUGCGUAGAUAUCUGGAGGAACAUCAGUGGCGAAGGCGGCUUCCUGGUCCAACACUGACACUGAGGUGCGAAAGCGUGGGGAGCAAACAGGAUUAGAUACCCCAGUAGUC
RNAcentral lists this ribosomal RNA (301 nucleotides) under uncultured Azospirillum sp. Its description in RNAcentral is "bacterial SSU rRNA". It matches the Rfam family "Bacterial small subunit ribosomal RNA", at positions 494 to 795 of the family's 1533-position model. The record is from RNAcentral. Lineage: Bacteria; Pseudomonadati; Pseudomonadota; Alphaproteobacteria; Rhodospirillales; Azospirillaceae.